This 253-nucleotide ribosomal RNA is filed under the name uncultured bacterium. Its description in RNAcentral is "partial 16S ribosomal RNA". It matches the Rfam family "Bacterial small subunit ribosomal RNA", at positions 524 to 776 of the family's 1533-position model. The record is from RNAcentral.
UACGAAGGGGGCUAGCGUUGUUCGGAAUUACUGGGCGCAAAGCGCACGUAGGCGGAUACUUAAGUCAGGGGUGAAAUCCCGGGGCUCAACCCCGGAACUGCCUUUGAUACUGGGUAUCUCGAGUCCGGAAGAGGUGAGUGGAAUUCCGAGUGUAGAGGUGAAAUUCGUAGAUAUUCGGAGGAACACCAGUGGCGAAGGCGGCUCACUGGUCCGGUACUGACGCUGAGACGCGAAAGCGUGGGGAGCGAACAGG